Molecule: unclassified non-coding RNA, 341 nt
Filed under: uncultured fungus
Lineage: Eukaryota; Fungi
Description: partial contains 5.8S ribosomal RNA and internal transcribed spacer 2
Rfam family: 5.8S ribosomal RNA (bases 1-133)
Source: RNAcentral
UGGCUCUAGCAUCGAUGAAGAACGCAGCGAAAUGCGAUAAGUAAUGCGAAUUGCAGAAUUCCGCGAGUCAUCGAAUCUUUGAACGCACAUUGCGCCUGCCAGUAUUCUGGCAGGCAUGCCUGUCCGAGCGUCAUUUCAACCCCCAGGCCCUCGUUGCCUGUUGUUGGGGCAUUCAGGGCGGUCUGACGCGACCCCCCCGAGCCCUGAAAAUCAGUGGCGGGCUUGCCAGGCUACCGAGCGCAGUAAUCUCUCUCGCUCAGGGGCCCUGGCGGGUGCUAGCCGUGAAAACACACACCUACGAAUAGUGGUUUGACCUCGGAUCAGGUAGGAAUACCCGCUGA